This 102-nucleotide Y RNA is filed under the name Saimiri boliviensis boliviensis (Bolivian squirrel monkey). RNAcentral describes it as "Y RNA (ENSSBOG00000005913.1)". It matches the Rfam family "Y RNA". From Rfam's summary of the family: Y RNAs are components of the Ro ribonucleoprotein particle (Ro RNP), in association with Ro60 and La proteins. The Y RNAs and Ro60 and La proteins are well conserved, but the function of the Ro RNP is not known. In humans the RNA component can be one of four small RNAs -- hY1, hY3, hY4 and hY5. Lineage: Eukaryota; Metazoa; Chordata; Mammalia; Primates; Cebidae. The record is from Rfam by way of RNAcentral.
GGCUGGUCCGAGUGCAGUGGUGUUUGCAACUAAUUGAUCACAACCAGUUACAGAUUUCUUUGUUCCUUCUCCACUCCCACUGCUUCACUUGACUAGCCUUUA